CAUUUUAUGCAGGGUGAGAUAAAAAAGUGCAACAAAGUCAAACGCCAUAAUUUUAACAAUUGUUUUUAAAUUUUAUUGAAUGAAAGCAAAAUAUAUCGGAAAUAGCAUUAAAUUUUAGAAUAAGUUUAGAUUUGUUCGAACGGGUCAUCUUUGGCACGAAUUAUGGCCUUCAAACGGCCAAUGAAAUCGUCACACGCUGCCCGAUAUUUUGGCCCAUUCCCGGCGAAGCGCUUGCUUGCGGUGAUCGACACUUUGGUAUUUUUAGUGCCAACCUUGCUUUCCAACAUACUCCAGACACAAUAGUCCAACGGAUUGGUAUCUGGAGAUUUUGGUGGCCAUUGUGCGCAGGGAAUGAAGCGAGGAACCUUAUUUUGCACCCUCCAGAAUAUUUUCGCGAUAAUAUUCGGCAUUUAUUCUGAUGCCACGGUCGGUUAAUACGAGAGGAGAGCGACCAUCGGCUGUUAUGGCGGCCUACGCCAUCACCAUGGCCGGCGCUUGAGUUCUGGUGGCCAACCGAAGAUGCAUAUUUUCAGCAGACCUCUUUGGCAAGUAAACACGAUCAUUUUGUUUGUUUACAACCUGCUGGAAAACGAAUGUUUUUUUUCAUCGGAGAAAACCAAAUUCGACAGUUCACCACUUUCGGCCAAGCAAAGCAACUCCUUAGCUCUUUUGAGUCUAUUUUCUUUCUGUUGCGGUGUAAGAUCUUUCACUUUUUGGAAUUUAAUGGCUUUACCCCGACCUCAUUUUUCAAUAUUUGCCGAAUGGAAUAUUGGGAUAUGUUCAGCUCACGAGCCAUUUUUCGGCCACUGCGACGCGCACUUCGAUCAAGUCGCUUCUUUACUUUUCGAACCAUUUCUGCUGAUGUUGCUGUUUUCUUCCGUCCACUUCCUUGACGUUGGGCUACGCUACCAAUGUCACUGUAACGAGUGAUGGUACGAGACACAAAAGAUUUAUUCACAUUUAAAUGCUGGAGUGCUCUAACGAUAGCCAAUUGUGGUUUUCCAGCCAAAUAUAAAGAAA
Musca vetustissima is the source of this 1020-nucleotide long non-coding RNA. RefSeq lists it as uncharacterized. The transcript has 2 exons. The record is from RefSeq and is a predicted model, not a curated record. NCBI's taxonomy places the organism in Eukaryota, Metazoa, Arthropoda, Insecta, Diptera, Muscidae.